RNAcentral lists this small RNA (639 nucleotides) under Streptomyces antibioticus. RNAcentral describes it as "bacterial SSU rRNA". The stretch from base 1 to 333 matches the Rfam family "Bacterial small subunit ribosomal RNA", at positions 1205 to 1533 of the family's 1533-position model. The record is from RNAcentral. Lineage: Bacteria; Bacillati; Actinomycetota; Actinomycetes; Kitasatosporales; Streptomycetaceae.
UGUCUUGGGCUGCACACGUGCUACAAUGGCCGGUACAAAGAGCAGCGAUACCGUGAGGUGGAGCGAAUCUCAAAAAGCCGGUCUCAGUUCGGAUUGGGGUCUGCAACUCGACCCCAUGAAGUCGGAGUUGCUAGUAAUCGCAGAUCAGCAUUGCUGCGGUGAAUACGUUCCCGGGCCUUGUACACACCGCCCGUCACGUCACGAAAGUCGGUAACACCCGAAGCCGGUGGCCCAACCCCUUGUGGGAGGGAGCUGUCGAAGGUGGGACUGGCGAUUGGGACGAAGUCGUAACAAGGUAGCCGUACCGGAAGGUGCGGCUGGAUCACCUCCUUUCUAAGGAGCACAGUACCGAUUGCAGGCAAAUGUUCUGCACGGUCAGCUCAUGGGUGGAACGUUGACUAUUCGGCACACUCGGUCUUCUCCUGACCCUGCUAGUACUGCUUCGGCGUGGAACACAGGACAAGAGAACCGGGAGUGUCGGGCACGCUGUUGGGUGUCUGAGGGCACGGCCGCAAGGCCUGUCUUCGGGAUGCCGGCCCCAGUGAACUCCGAGUGUGACUCGGGGGUGAUGGGUGGCUGGUCGUUGUUUGAGAACUGCACAGUGGACGCGAGCAUCUGUGGCCAAGUUUUUAAGGGCGC